UACGGGGGGGGCAAGCGUUGUUCGGAAUUACUGGGCGUAAAGGGCUCGUAGGCGGCCAACUAAGUCGGACGUGAAAUCCCCAGGCUCAACCUGGGAACUGCGUCCGAUACUGGAUGGCUUGAAUUCGGGAGAGGGAUGCAGAAUUCCAGGUGUAGCGGUGAAAUGCGUAGAUAUCAUCUGGAACGCCAAUGGUGAAAACAGCUCGCUGGGGGUUUGCAGACGCUGAGACACGAAAGCCAGGGGAGCGAACGGG
RNAcentral lists this ribosomal RNA (253 nucleotides) under uncultured bacterium. Its description in RNAcentral is "partial 16S ribosomal RNA". It matches the Rfam family "Bacterial small subunit ribosomal RNA", at positions 524 to 776 of the family's 1533-position model. The record is from RNAcentral.